This 615-nucleotide ribosomal RNA is filed under the name uncultured bacterium. RNAcentral describes it as "bacterial SSU rRNA". It matches the Rfam family "Bacterial small subunit ribosomal RNA", at positions 338 to 944 of the family's 1533-position model. The record is from RNAcentral.
CCUACGGGAGGCAGCAGUGGGGAAUUUUGGACAAUGGACGCAAGCCUGAUCCAGCCAUGCCGCGUGCGGGAAGAAGGCCUUCGGGUUGUAAACCGCUUUUGUCAGGGAAGAAAAGGUUCUGGUUAAUACCUGGGACUCAUGACGGUACCUGAAGAAUAAGCACCGGCUAACUACGUGCCAGCAGCCGCGGUAAUACGUAGGGUGCAAGCGUUAAUCGGAAUUACUGGGCGUAAAGCGUGCGCAGGCGGUUAUGCAAGACAGAGGUGAAAUCCCCGGGCUCAACCUGGGAACUGCCUUUGUGACUGCAUAGCUAGAGUACGGUAGAGGGGGAUGGAAUUCCGCGUGUAGCAGUGAAAUGCGUAGAUAUGCGGAGGAACACCGAUGGCGAAGGCAAUCCCCUGGACCUGUACUGACGCUCAUGCACGAAAGCGUGGGGAGCAAACAGGAUUAGAUACCCUGGUAGUCCACGCCCUAAACGAUGUCAACUGGUUGUUGGGAGGGUUUCUUCUCAGUAACGUAGCUAACGCGUGAAGUUGACCGCCUGGGGAGUACGGCCGCAAGGUUGAAAACUCAAAGGAAUUGACGGCNGAGAGNGCGAGACGACACGAGGAGAGG